AUUGGAAUCCGCAGUGACCAGCCCAGGACUUCUGCCUGUGCUAGCACUGGGGAUGCUCCACCUGCUCUUCGGCCCAGCAAGGGUGUGCAGAGUGACAGCCAGGGGCCGUGUGGCACUGCCAGUCCUGGUCUGCACAGCUCUGCAGGUGUGGUGGGGCACACUGUCGUCCCAGCACCUCCCCUCGGGCCGUCUCAAGUCACUCAAGCUGCAUCCAAACAGAAGAUCAUGAAGCCAGUGAGUCCCAGAGACUGCGCAGGUCCAGGCUCAUUUGGAGCAACUCUCAUCUCCUCCCUUCUGAUCACCACCAGUCCCCUACAAAAGCUUAGACAGGGAGCAGAAUUCAUCGAAGACGUGGACAGGGAGGUGCUUGGAGAGGGACGCAGAGAGGGAUCGGGUGCACCUGGGCGCGGAGUCUGGGUGGCCAGGUUUGG
RNAcentral lists this long non-coding RNA (431 nucleotides) under Heterocephalus glaber (naked mole-rat). RNAcentral's name for it is "lncRNA (ENSHGLG00000038177.1)". Lineage: Eukaryota; Metazoa; Chordata; Mammalia; Rodentia; Bathyergidae. The record is from RNAcentral.